RNAcentral lists this ribosomal RNA (468 nucleotides) under uncultured bacterium. Its description in RNAcentral is "partial 16S ribosomal RNA". It matches the Rfam family "Bacterial small subunit ribosomal RNA", at positions 28 to 507 of the family's 1533-position model. The record is from RNAcentral.
GACGAACGCUGGCGGCGUGCUUAACACAUGCAAGUCGAACGGAAAGGCCCUGCUUUUGUGGGGUGCUCGAGUGGCGAACGGGUGAGUAACACGUGAGUAACCUGCCCUUGACUUUGGGAUAACUUCAGGAAACUGGGGCUAAUACCGGAUAGGAGCUCCUGCUGCAUGGUGGGGGUUGGAAAGUUUCGGCGGUUGGGGAUGGACUCGCGGCUUAUCAGCUUGUUGGUGGGGUAGUGGCUUACCAAGGCUUUGACGGGUAGCCGGCCUGAGAGGGUGACCGGGCACAAGGGGACUGAGAGACGGCCCAGACGGCUACGGGAGGCAGCGGGGGGGAAUAUUGCACAAUGGGCGGAAGCCUGAUGCAGCAACGCCGGGUGCGGGAUGACGGCCUUCGGGUGGUAAACCGCUGUCGCCUGAGACGAGGCGUGAGUGACGGUAAUGGGUAAAGAAGCACCGGCUAACUACGUG